UGGAAAUGGAUAUGUUUUAGAGGCAAAAUCUUAUAUAUGGGCUAAAGGUCGAGAGACAGAACAUUGAGUCAAUCCAAAGGAUGAGUUAAAAAUAUUCCAACAUAUUUUAGUCUCAAACAUUGCAAAUUUGGUUUAGUAACAGAGGAUUAACUAUAUGUUAACCUCAAAUCAUCAACUGAAAAAGUAGGACACUACAAAUUACAUCAAUUAAACAUUCAAACUAAAGCAUAUUAAACAACUCAAAUAAACAACAAAUCAGAAUAUAACUCAAAUCGUAGUUAACUUGUACUGUUAUGGACUAACAUGUAAACCCAGACAACUAGAUACCAAAUCAAAAUCUCAAACAGCCCUUCCAGGGCUUCUACCUACUGUAAGAAAAUUAAGAUAGAAUAGUGGAAAACAAACCCGUUGAGCAAAAUCCUUUAAUAAUAACAGAAUGUAGUCAACAAAUACAAGCUUGAGUUCAAAUCCACUCUAAGAGAAAACUCGGAAAUCAGGAAGUCGAUGGCAACAAAACAUAGCAAAACAUGAGGAGCUCAGCAUCAUGAAUCCACCAGAAAAUCAGCAACAACAAAUCAACAAAUUUGAACCUCUACAGCUUGUGAAAAUCCAGAAAAAAGAAUUCAUCUCUGAAAUUGUAUUUCUUCAAAUCUUUAUCGAAAAAUUCAGUUUUCUUUCUAUUAUUUCUAGCUUUUGAUUUUCAGAUCUUUAGCUAAAAAACCAACAUUGUUUCAACUGGGUUUGGGCAGUAAUUUCCGGUAGUUUGUUUGAAGGGGAGUGGCUGAUUUUUGUCCCUCUCGAUUGCUGCUCGUUUUUAGCGCUGAAGUAACAACUUUUCAUGGCUGAAACGGGCUAGGAUGGGAGAUGAAGAAGGAUAUGGCUGCUUUUCACUGAGGAAGAGCUGAGCUCUGGAACGCCGUUGCUCAUUUUUGUCGAGGAGAGAGUCUCUUUCUCUGUUGAAAAUGAGAGAUGGUGAGAGAGAGAGAGAGCAGUCCCCUCUCUUUUGAGGUAAUGGCGUUGUCUCCAUGAAGAUAGGGGGGUCCGAUUAUUUUUGUUCUAGGUCUUCUGAUCUUUGGUCCAGGGAUUUAAGGGAAAAUUGGGGAAAGGGAAGAUUGGGCUAGGAUUUAAAAGUUAAUGGGCUAUUUUAGGGAUUAGCCCAAUUUUAAAAGAAACAAGACCAAAAAUAUAUUCUUCCUAUUAUUAUUUUCUUUGUUUUUUCCUUUUUUUAUUUUUCUUUGAUUUUAAAUUCUAAUUAAAUUAAUUAAGAUCCUAAAUCAAUCUAUUUUUGUAGAAAUGAAAAUUCUUUACUUAUUUUUAAUAUUAAAACGACUAAUUAACUUAAAACUAAAGAAAAAUGCUAAUUUUAAAGAUUAAAAUCUAAAUAUGUAAAAAUGAUCAUUUUUUGUGAUCUUGGCUUAAUAAAAUUAAUUUCUAGAUGCAAAUUGAACCUAAUAUGGCAUGAAAUUAAAAUAUGAUAAUUAUUUAUGGGUUUUCGAUGAUUUUAAAAUAUUAAAAAUGCAUAAAACGCAACUAAAUAAAGAAAAACUCCUAAAAUCAAUUAAAGUUAUUUCUAGCUUUUGAUUUUCAGAUCUUCAGCUAAAAAAACAACACUAUUUCAACUGGGUUUGGGAGGUAAUUUCUGGCAGUUUUUUUGAAGGGGAGUGGCCGAAUUUUGUCCCUCUCGGUUGCUGCUCGUUUUUAGAGCUGAAGUAAUAGCUUUUCACGGCUGAAACGAGCUGGGAUGGGAGAUGAAGAAGGAGAUGCCUGCUUUUUGCUGAGGAAAAGCUGAGCUCUCGAACGCCGUUGCUCGUUUUUGUCGAGGAGAGGGUCUCUUUCUCUGUUGAAAAUGAGAGAUGGUGAGAGAGAGCAGUCCCCUCUCUUU
This 1882-nucleotide long non-coding RNA is filed under the name Nicotiana tabacum (common tobacco). Its description in RNAcentral is "long non-coding RNA (NTAB_LNC011665)". The record is from RNAcentral. Lineage: Eukaryota; Viridiplantae; Streptophyta; Magnoliopsida; Solanales; Solanaceae.